Long non-coding RNA from Boleophthalmus pectinirostris (great blue-spotted mudskipper), 1059 nucleotides. RefSeq lists it as uncharacterized. The record is from RefSeq and is a predicted model, not a curated record. The transcript has 2 exons. Lineage: Eukaryota; Metazoa; Chordata; Actinopteri; Gobiiformes; Gobiidae.
CAUUCCCAGCGCGAAGCAGCAUCACACACCGGCACUUGGAGCAACUGCGUGUGCCGGGCUGCAGACACUUUCAGAUCCCAACAGGAGAGCACUGGCGCGGGAUGAAUACCCCCUCUGGUUCCCCUGUUAAGUGGAACUAGUUGUUAUGUUAGAUUUCUCCCGGUUUUAAAUUCCUCCCCCGUCUAAGAGCUGCAGAGGAUGAGAAGACAGCCCGAGGCAGCUGGUACGGGGCUGCUACAGGACACACUACGCUGCGUGAUGCUGGUUAGAGUCCGAGUGGACCUGGCACCCUGCGGAGGGGAAAAGGAGGUGGUCUGUCCACUGAGCUUACCUGCUCCAAACGCGUCACCAUGUUAAAAAUACCUGCUUUUGGUGAAGCUGUCACUGGCAAACUGUACCGUGACCUGGACUGCUGAGCUCUUUAAGUGUUGUCUCUUCUGGAUUUCAGUCGCCUUUUGAAGGAUUUCAGCCCAACUUUAAGAGAUGGUCUGACUCCAAAGUGAUUUAUCACCAGCCUGGGUCAAGUUUGCUGCUGCACUUAUGAUGGCCAAUAAUAACGACUUACAGAAACGUAAACGAAGCUGCGGCUGAGCUGAUAAGCCAGCCCUGUCUGAGGGAGCCCUGUAGCUGCCUGCUCAUAAAUGCUUUAUUCCACUGGUUUCCUGUAGUUAUUAUCUAUGAGAGGGGAGCUGCUUCUUUCACCACAGAGACUCCUGACCAAAUGACUCUUUAUUGAUCACAGAGUGGAAGACUCUGCCCAUUUCUUUAAUGGUGCCUGGAGACUUCUGAGCUCAUUCCUGUAGAUUUCACCUAGCUGGUCAGAUCAGAUGGGCCUGCCUUGUUAACGUCACCUGUUGAUGACAUCAUAUACACAUGUACACAAUUUUUUGAAUAAAAGAUACAAAAUAAAACAUGUAUUCACUCAUGGGUAUUAGUACAGUGUAUGCCCCGCUGCCUGUGCUGCAGAUAAUAGGAUUAUAAAAGUGUGUUAUAUCUGACUUCUGUAACCUCUGUUAUUAUGUUAUUUAAGAUAUAAUUUUUGUUUGUAUUUGUUUUUUA